GCAACAGCUUAGAUGUCUUCUUGUGGCGUGCAUGACAAUUUUAAUCCUAUUCUUUCACCUGCAACCCUGGUGGUGUCAAAUGGACUUGGGAGCGAAUUUCAAAGCGCUAACCAACAGGAAAAAAAAAAAAUGAAGUGAAGAAGACGAGAGGGGGCCGAACUACACAGGAGUGAACUCCUGCUGAGGAGCUGGCCCGCUGCAGUAAUGAGGGUCGCCCCUUAAUGGAACGGGUGGAAGGGGGUGUCUCAUCCGACCCUGAUGGAAGUGGCAGCUCCCAGCGGGCCACAUUAGUACAGGGUAUGUGUCAGUGAGUCAAUGACAAACUACUGCGUUGCUAAUAAAACACAAUUAUGUAAUAUAUUAA
This is a long non-coding RNA of Seriola aureovittata, 364 nucleotides long. RefSeq lists it as uncharacterized. Lineage: Eukaryota; Metazoa; Chordata; Actinopteri; Carangiformes; Carangidae. The record is from RefSeq and is a predicted model, not a curated record. The transcript is spliced from 2 exons.